Non-coding RNA from Danio rerio (zebrafish), 668 nucleotides. NCBI's taxonomy places the organism in Eukaryota, Metazoa, Chordata, Actinopteri, Cypriniformes, Danionidae. The record is from Ensembl.
UCAACAGAAGGAAGAUCUUCAGUCUCGUUUAGAACAAGAGGAGGGAGACGGAUACCAGAGAUGUACAUAAAGAUGAUAGUUUAUUGAAGUAUGGAUGGCACAAUGACCAGGAGAGAGUUUUGUGAUGCAAGGCAAACAGAGAUGGGAUCAGAGAUUGACGACAACCAGAUGGGACCAGAAGAAAGCCACACUAGGAGAGACAGAUGCAGGCACUGGAGAUUAUAGGGAAAUGAGAAAGUUGCCAAGGACAACGACCUCUGUCAGAGAACUGAGAAAGGACUUGUGGUCAAAGUACUUUGAGGACCCCAGCAAUUUAGGCCUCUUCCUAGUCAGACAGAAUGGUACACACACACACACUCACAGAGAGCAGAACAAUGGGUACAGAUGCACAUAGACACAACCAUGACCCCCAACUGAGACUACUUGACCCAGAACUGUGCAGAACAAUUUGGACGAAGGAACAUCAUAACAGAAUUAGAGAAUUAAGUGCUUUUUUGUUCUGUGUAUGCUUCAAGUGAUGUCUGAAGGGCACAUUUGCACAAUAUUCACUUUUAAUGAAAGUUUAAUUAAGCUGUCAAAACAUGAGGUGCAUGCUAUACUGGGAAGAUACUGAACUUGGAUGAAAUCAGUGAACAAACAAACAUCUCAAAGAAAAUGACAUUAUAUGU